Long non-coding RNA from Malaclemys terrapin pileata, 226 nucleotides. RefSeq lists it as uncharacterized. NCBI's taxonomy places the organism in Eukaryota, Metazoa, Chordata, Testudines, Emydidae. The transcript has 3 exons. The record is from RefSeq and is a predicted model, not a curated record.
CUCAGAUGGCAAGUUUCUUUGUAGCGCUGGUGGUUAUGAUAACCAUGCUGGCUUUGGGAAUCUACCUCGACCCCCUUCCAAAGGCUGUGCUGGGAGCCCUGAUAGCAGUGAACCUGAAAAACUCCCUCAAGCAGCUGGCUGAUCCCUUCUACCUGUGGAAGAAAAGCAAGCUGGAUUGUUUGGUCUGGGUGGUGAGUUUCCUGUCGGCUUUCUUCUUGGGCCUGCC